This 298-nucleotide ribosomal RNA is filed under the name uncultured bacterium. RNAcentral's name for it is "partial 16S ribosomal RNA". It matches the Rfam family "Bacterial small subunit ribosomal RNA", at positions 790 to 1084 of the family's 1533-position model. The record is from RNAcentral.
GUAGUCCACGCUGUAAACGAUGGAUGCUUGUUGUUGGAAUGUUAACCUUUUCAGUAACGAAGCUAACGCGUUAAGCAUCCCGCCUGGGGAGUACGGUCGCAAGAUUAAAACUCAAAGAAAUUGACGGGGACCCGCACAAGCAGUGGAGCAUGUGGUUUAAUUCGACGCAACGCGAAGAACCUUAUCCUGGUCUUGACAUCCGUUGACCGCCGGCGAAAGCCGGUUUUCCCUUCGGGGGACAGCGAGACAGGUGCUGCAUGGCUGUCGUCAGCUCGUGUCGUGAGAUGUUGGGGUUAAG